Molecule: microRNA precursor, 122 nt
Filed under: Anopheles minimus
Lineage: Eukaryota; Metazoa; Arthropoda; Insecta; Diptera; Culicidae
Description: microRNA mir-12
Rfam family: mir-12 microRNA precursor family
Source: RNAcentral
CCGGAGUGAGUAUUAUAUCAGGUACUGGUGUGAUUUAAAAAGCCGAACGUUGGGUAUCCCACCAAUCUGGGGCGGAUGUACGGUUCGGUCAACUAUCAGUACUUGUGUUAUACUCUCUCCGU